This 484-nucleotide ribosomal RNA is filed under the name uncultured bacterium. RNAcentral's name for it is "partial 16S ribosomal RNA". It matches the Rfam family "Bacterial small subunit ribosomal RNA", at positions 899 to 1397 of the family's 1533-position model. The record is from RNAcentral.
ACUCAAAUGAAUAGACGGGGGCCCGCACAAGCAGCGGAGCGUGUGGUUUAAUUCGAGGUUACACGAAGAACCUUACCUAGACUUGACAUAGCGGUGGUAGAGAAGCGAAAGCGGAUCGACCUUCGGGAGCCGUUACAGGUGCUGCAUGGCUGUCGUCAGCUCGUGUCGUGAGAUGUUCGGUUAAGUCCGAAAACGAGCGCAACCCUCGGGGCUAGUUACAAGUGUCUAGCGCGACUGCCCGUGACAAACGGGAGGAAGGUGAGGAUGAUGUCAAGUCAGCAUGGCCUUUAUGUCUGGGGCUACACACACGCUACAAUGGGCGGUACAAUGGGGAGCGAAGCCGCGAGGCGGAGCGAAUCCUAAAAAGCCGUUCGUAGUUCGGAUUGCAGGCUGCAACUCGCCUGCAUGAAGUCGGAGUUGCUAGUAACCGCGCGUCAGCUAUAGUGCGGUGAAUACGUUCCCGGGCCUUGCACACACCGCCCGU